Molecule: ribosomal RNA, 405 nt
Filed under: uncultured bacterium
Lineage: Bacteria
Description: bacterial SSU rRNA
Rfam family: Bacterial small subunit ribosomal RNA
Source: RNAcentral
UGGGGAAUCUUGCGCAAUGGGCGAAAGCCUGACGCAGCAACGCCGCGUGCGGGAUGAAGGCCUUCGGGUUGUAAACCGCUUUCAGAAGGAACGAAACUGACGGUACUUUCAGAAGAAGGUGCGGCCAACUACGUGCCAGCAGCCGCGGUGACACGUAGGCACCAAGCGUUGUCCGGAUUUAUUGGGCGUAAAGAGCUCGUAGGCGGUUCGAAAAGUCGGGUGUGAAAACUUUGGGCUUAACCCAAAGCGUGCAUUCGAUACUGUCGUGACUAGAGUUCGGUAGGGGAGUGGGGAAUUCCUAGUGUAGCGGUGAAAUGCGCAGAUAUUAGGAGGAACACCGGUGGCGAAGGCGCCACUCUGGGCCGAAACUGACGCUGAGGAGCGAAAGCGUGGGUAGCAAACAGG